UUGAGUGUCAUCAAAUUCUCAAAUCUAUAGAGCGUUUUUCGUGAUAUAGGUUUGGAUUGCUGGGGGUUGCUGGCUUCUGACUGAGUCAGCUCCUCUUAAAUGCAUUAGCGGGACUUUAUUGCCUCUGCGCACAGUGUGAUAAUUUAUCUACGCUGGCUGUCAUGCAAUGACUGACGAGUCUAGCUCUCCAAUCGUCUUUCGGGACAAUGACUUGACAAUU
RNAcentral lists this unclassified non-coding RNA (220 nucleotides) under Pleurotus cystidiosus. RNAcentral describes it as "ITS2". Lineage: Eukaryota; Fungi; Basidiomycota; Agaricomycetes; Agaricales; Pleurotaceae. The record is from RNAcentral.